RNAcentral lists this small nucleolar RNA (69 nucleotides) under Sciurus vulgaris (Eurasian red squirrel). Its description in RNAcentral is "Small nucleolar RNA SNORD113/SNORD114 family (ENSSVLG00005000065.1)". It matches the Rfam family "Small nucleolar RNA SNORD113/SNORD114 family". From Rfam's summary of the family: The imprinted human domain at 14q32 contains two clusters of tandemly repeated small nucleolar RNAs named 14q(I) and 14q(II) snoRNAs. The record is from Rfam by way of RNAcentral. Lineage: Eukaryota; Metazoa; Chordata; Mammalia; Rodentia; Sciuridae.
CAGACCAGUGGUGACCACUGGUGACGUAUGUGUUAUGGCUGAUGACAGCUUUGGAAGUCUGAGGUCCAC